UACGGAGGGGGCUAGCGUUGUUCGGAAUUACUGGGCGUAAAGCGCGCGUAGGCGGCUUUGUAAGUUAGAGGUGAAAGCCCGGAGCUCAACUCCGGAACUGCCUUUAAGACUGCAUCGCUAGAAUUGUGGAGAGGUAAGUGGAAUUCCGAGUGUAGAGGUGAAAUUCGUAGAUAUUCGCAAGAACACCAGUGGCGAAGGCGGCUCACUGGCCCGGUACUGACGCUGAGGUGCGAAAGCGUGGGGAGCAAACAGG
Molecule: ribosomal RNA, 253 nt
Filed under: uncultured bacterium
Lineage: Bacteria
Description: partial 16S ribosomal RNA
Rfam family: Bacterial small subunit ribosomal RNA
Source: RNAcentral